UACGAAGGGUGCAAGCGUUACUCGGAAUUACUGGGCGUAAAGCGUGCGUAGGCGGUUUGUUAAGUCCGUUGUGAAAGCCCUGGGCUCAACCUGGGAAUUGCAGUGGAUACUGGCGAGCUAGAGUGCGGUAGAGGAUGGUGGAAUUCCCGGUGUAGCGGUGAAAUGCGUAGAGAUCGGGAGGAACACCCGUGGCGAAGGCGGCCAUCUGGACCAGCACUGACGCUGAGGCACGAAAGCGUGGGGAGCGAACGGG
Molecule: ribosomal RNA, 253 nt
Filed under: uncultured bacterium
Lineage: Bacteria
Description: partial 16S ribosomal RNA
Rfam family: Bacterial small subunit ribosomal RNA
Source: RNAcentral